Molecule: small nuclear RNA, 191 nt
Organism: Ictalurus punctatus (channel catfish)
Lineage: Eukaryota; Metazoa; Chordata; Actinopteri; Siluriformes; Ictaluridae
Gene: U2
Rfam family: U2 spliceosomal RNA
About the family: U2 is a small nuclear RNA (snRNA) component of the spliceosome (involved in pre-mRNA splicing).
Source: Ensembl
AUCGCUUCUCGGCCUUUUGGCUAAGAUCAAGUGUAGUAUCUGUUCUUAUCAGUUUAAUAUCUGAUACGUCCCCUACCCGGGGACCAUAUAUUAAAUUGAUUUUUGGAGCAGGGAGAUGGAAUAGGGGCUUGCUCCGUCCACUCCACGCAUCGACCCGGUAUUGCAGUACUUCCGGGAACGGUGCACCCCCC